Molecule: non-coding RNA, 1880 nt
Organism: Macaca mulatta (Rhesus monkey)
Lineage: Eukaryota; Metazoa; Chordata; Mammalia; Primates; Cercopithecidae
Source: RefSeq, a predicted model, not a curated record
UUCUUUUUCAUGGAAAGUGUGCUUUCUCCUCUGCUACCUCACACAAGUUUUAAAAGAGCUUGUUUCUGCCAAGGGAGGCUUGGGGGCAUUUUGGGGACAGACUCUACAGUUUACUAGUGGCCCCAGGAAGUCCUACAAAACAGAUGAAAUCAGUAUUGGAGAAGUGGUCUCACGAAGAUGGGAGCAGGAUUACUCCAAUUGACUGCUGACUUCUCACCCUAGGAAAUAACCGUAUCCCAGCCUGAUCUCAGUGGAUAAGCCCACAGGGUUAAGGAGUAAUCAUCAUGCUCCAUUUUGUUUUUGAGCCAUCUUCAGCCUUUGAGUCCUUAAGCUUUUUGGAGACAGUUUGUGGAGAAGGUCCUCACAACAUUGUGCAACAGGUGUGAAAGAUGAAGUCUCCAUUUACAGCUGCUGAAAUAGGCUGAGAGAGGUUCAUCUAGGGGUGAUUGAGGCUACAAAAUUUAUGCCACGUUUUCAACUGUCAAGGCUGCUUUCAGAAUCCAGAGGAGGCCUGGGAAGAACUUCAGCAAGGUCUUGCUGGUAUUUAGCCCCCUGAAGUAUAGAAGAUGACACUUGCUGACAGGGGAGGAAACCGAGGAGGCAGCACAAAGGAGGAUGGUGUUUGUGCAGAGAUGAGAGGGGUGCAGCUUUCACCGACAAGGGAGUGCAGCUCACCAACCCCAGGGAGUGUUCCAUGCCAGAGAUGGAGAGGGACAGCUAGGACAUUAUCCCAGACCCCUUCAUGUCUCCUCCAAACAAGGAGGCCUCCAACUCCAGGAAGUUAGCAGCUCAUAAAGGAUGAGUUGAUUUAGAGCCUUUCCUUGUGAAGAGGUUGGAAGAGCCCGGGUUCAAAGGCUUUGACAUAAACCAACAACUGGGCCCCUGCUGGGAAGUCAUCAGUGCUUGAGGGUCCCAUCCAUUACUUUUGUAAAGACACAUGCCUUGUGGACUUAUAAAUAAAACCUCAAAGGUGACGACAAUCCAGCAGCUGUGUAGAUGGUUGCAUCCUUAUGAACUGCGGACAGAAGCUGAAGUGGACAGGAGUCAGGGCAACUUUCUGGACAGCAGAUUCAACCUGUUUCCUAGACUUUCCAUCACCACCAGUGAAUUCCGAGUGACAGUAGUGUGGAAUUUGGAAGAAUGGAAGAGAAACUGAAGUAGAGAGAUGGUGAAAGAGAAGAAAAAAUGAAGAAAGAUGCUUGCAAAAAUACUGCCGUGGGUCCUGAGAUGAAGAUUCUGGGAGGGGAUGGUCAAGGGGGAGCAGGAUCAUCUUAGACCAUGAGGGAGGAUGAGCUGGAAGAAUGAAGAGAGAAGUGUCUUGAUGAGGAGGUGGAGGUGUAUGAAGUGACGAAGAGUCUGUGAGGAGAAUGAGGAAGGGCAACCAGAGAAAUCAAGAAAAAUUAGGAGACAGAUCUCCUAGAAGCCAAGAAGAUGGUGGUAAACUAAUAAGUGAUGGGAGCAGUGAAGGAAAAAAAAAAAAAAAACUCGGAGUAUGUUUAUAUUGGUGGCAAAAAGAGUUUGCUUUCAAGUGACUUGUUAGCACACCUGUGAUCUGACUAAGUUACAUCAGUGGGAGGCAGAGGAUGAAAGGAUGCCGGCCUCUGAGACCGACUUCAGUUCUUUGAGUGUUUGAGAAACACUUCAAGUCUUAGUCAGUGGCUUUGGUCAUGGUGAGGAUGAUGCCCUGAGGGCUUUCACCGCAGAGACAAGCCGACUUGUUCAAAUCCAUUCUCAAAUAGUAAAACACAGGCAAAGGUAAAACAUGCAGAACUACUGCACCAUGAUCAAAACAUGUACUCUGUCACAUCUAAUGGCUUCAGGCACCCCUUGAACUUUUGAGUUAGCAAAAACAGGCAAAUAAAGAUGAAACUUGUCUUUCA